Molecule: ribosomal RNA, 440 nt
Filed under: uncultured bacterium
Lineage: Bacteria
Description: partial 16S ribosomal RNA
Rfam family: Bacterial small subunit ribosomal RNA
Source: RNAcentral
CCUACGGGCGGCAGCAGUGAGGAAUAUUGGGCAAUGGGGGCAACCCUGACCCAGCCAUGCCGCGUGAGUGAAGAAGGUCUUCGGAUUGUAAAGCUCUUUCGGACGUGACGAUGAUGACGGUAGCGUCUAAAGAAGCACCGGCAAACUUCGUGCCAGCAGCCGCGGUAAUACGAAGGGUGCGAGCGUUGUUCGGAAUUACUGGGCGUAAAGGGAGUGUAGGCGGAUAUGUAAGAUAGCGGUGAAAUGCCGGGGCUCAACCCCGGAACUGCCAUUAUGACUAUGUAUCUAGAGUAAUGGAGAGGAUAGCGGAAUACCCAGUGUAGAGGUGAAAUGCAUAGAUAUCACGCAGAACUCCGAUUGCGAAGGCAGCAUACCGGCGCCCGACUGACGCUGAGGCACGAAAGCGUGGGGAUCGAACAGGAUUAGAUACCCGGGUAGUC